GCAAACUUGGUCAUUUAGAGGAAGUAAAAGUCGUAACAAGGUUUUAAGAUUCUAUGGAAGCCUUGAACAAUCAGUCUGUCUUUAGGCAGGCAACACCGAUGAUCUGCUGGAAUUUAGGGUCUACCCCCUCCAACCAGCAGCUGUUGGUUAGGUCUCACCUAACCUAUCAGUUCACAGAUCAAGUGUCGGUGGUCCUCAUCUUUUAGGUGUGGAUUCUAAUAUGAUCGGCUCUAUCUAGCAAUGGAUGGAAUCAGUGUUCCGUAGGUGAACCUGCGGAAGGAUCAUUAAAGGUUUAGGGUACUUGGUGCCCAAACUUCAACCCUAUGUUAUUGUUCGCCUUGUUCCUUUGCCGGUUUCUACCGGCGGAAGACAUCUCUAACUCAUUGAUAAUUUGUCCUCUGAAUUUUUGAAAUAAUAAGCAAAACUUUCAACAACGGAUCUCUUGGUUCUGGCAUCGAUGAAGAACGCAGC
RNAcentral lists this unclassified non-coding RNA (471 nucleotides) under uncultured fungus. RNAcentral's name for it is "partial contains small subunit ribosomal RNA, internal transcribed spacer 1, and 5.8S ribosomal RNA". The stretch from base 423 to 471 matches the Rfam family "5.8S ribosomal RNA", at positions 1 to 49 of the family's 154-position model. Lineage: Eukaryota; Fungi. The record is from RNAcentral.